RNAcentral lists this ribosomal RNA (407 nucleotides) under uncultured bacterium. RNAcentral's name for it is "partial 16S ribosomal RNA". It matches the Rfam family "Bacterial small subunit ribosomal RNA", at positions 30 to 526 of the family's 1533-position model. The record is from RNAcentral.
AUUGAACGCUGGCGGCAGGCCUAACACAUGCAAGUCGAGCGGAGGGGCGGAAGGGGGAGGAAUGCCUAGGAAUCUGCCUGGUCGUGGGGGAUAACGUCGAGAAAAGGGCGCUAAUACCGCAUACUAUCAGAUGAGCCUAGGGCGGCAUAGCAAGUUGGUGGGGUAAAGUCCUACCAAGGCGACGAUCCGUAACUGGUCUGAUAGUAUGAUCAGUCACACGGGAACUGAGAUACGGUCCAUACUCCUACGGGAGGCAGCAGUGGGGAAUAUGGGACAAUGGGCGAAAGCCUGAUCCAGCCAUGCCGCGUGUGUGAAGAAGUGCUUCGGAUUGUAAAGCACUUUAAGUUGGGAGGCGUUACCAACAGAAUAAGCACCGGCUAACGUCGUGCCAGCAGCCGCGGUAAUAC